AGUGUAAUUAUACCUUUCAGCUAUACUAUUUUGCUUAGAAGUCUUUGGAAUGGUGUAUUGAGCAACUAUCCCGUAGUCUUAUAAGUAUUUGGCAAAAGGUCUCAUUUGAUGGCUAAAUUUACUAGAUUGAUCAUAAUAUUCACCAUCAUAAUCAGAUGCCCCUAAGAUAGUCAAUAUAAGGUGAAUACUACUAAAGUCAAGUGAAGAUAGAAUUUUAUUAUCUAUCAAUAUUUGAAACAUCUCUUUAGAAAUGUGACUUAAUCACUUAUGUCAUAAUGCAAAGAAUUAGUUCUUGGCCAACUAUCUUUUAAGGGACAAUACAAUUUAUAUAUGUAUAUGGCUUUAAACUAGUCAAAUUGUAUAGAGAGA
This 369-nucleotide long non-coding RNA is filed under the name Elaeis guineensis (African oil palm). RNAcentral's name for it is "long non-coding RNA (EGUI_LNC022959)". The record is from RNAcentral. Lineage: Eukaryota; Viridiplantae; Streptophyta; Magnoliopsida; Arecales; Arecaceae.